RNAcentral lists this ribosomal RNA (253 nucleotides) under uncultured bacterium. RNAcentral's name for it is "partial 16S ribosomal RNA". It matches the Rfam family "Bacterial small subunit ribosomal RNA", at positions 524 to 776 of the family's 1533-position model. The record is from RNAcentral.
UACGUAGGGCGCAAGCGUUGUCCGGAAUUAUUGGGCGUAAAGAGCUCGUAGGCGGUCUGUUACGUCCGCUGUGAAAACCCAGGGCUUAACCCUGGGCUUGCAGUGGAUACGGGUAGACUAGAGGCAGGUAGGGGAGAAUGGAAUUCCCGGUGUAGCGGUGAAAUGCGCAGAUAUCAGGAGGAACACCAAUGGCGAAGGCAGCUCACUGGGACGAUACUGACGCUGAGACGCGAAAGCGUGGGGAGCAAACAGG